GACCCUCUGUUUGUCAUCUGGACUGUAGUAUAUAAAAAUCUAAAAAACAGAUCGAGGAACUGAUGGUGCUUUGGAAAUCUAACAAAGCCUGAUAAAAUCCAUGACCAGCCUUUUUUUCUGCAUGGAAUUUCAGAUAGCAAGUCCAAUCAUGGAGUAAACCAAAGUAUUGCUCCCAAAGUUUAAUGGAUCUGGCUCUAUGUUAGAAAUAACUGCACAAUGAAAGCCUGAUUAAGACUUUUCUUUCUGACAUUCAUAUGAUUAUAUAUUUAGAACUCUAUUAACAGAGACACUAAUUCACUGGGAAUUAAAUAAACCCAUUUCACGCUUUGAAUUUAUGAUUGGUGCCAUAGAUUGUAAGAUUUCUUGCAAGAUUUUAUAGAGCAGUCUGUCAUUCACACAUUUAUUGCUGGCAGCGCUGACAGGGAUUGGUAGAACGUGUGUGAGAAGUUUAAUCCCAUAUAUUUAUUAAUAAAUUAGAUAGUAUCUUAUAAGUCCUGCUUGCUUUCUCUAAACUCUUUAAUUGUACAAUCUCUGACAGAACAGCAGGGACUGUUCUUUGGAGAAAAUAUAUUAUGCAGAAAAAGAAAACACAGAGGAUGCAGCAUUUAGAGGAACAUAUAGGAAUAAUAAGAGAAUGCAGAAGGUGUCCGUGUCAUGUGGAAGAUGUUUGAGGAAAUGCUUUCAGGCUAAAGACCUCCAGGAUACCUCAUACUGAACAGGCUGUUCACCUGCAAGAAGUGAUAUCUAUGAUCACAGCCAUUCUCUGAGUGUUUCUGGUAAGAGAUUAUAAGAAAUGCCUCUGAAUUUCAUAUAUAACACCUAACAAUUAGGAUUAUAGCAUUUUCCUAGAUAUAUACAUUUAUAUCCUAAUUACUGUGCAGAUGCAAUAUACUUAGGUCACCUUUAACCCCUACAGUCAGAGCUGCUCUGUUUGUAUUACUUCUUUUAUUCUAAUAUUCUUUUUAUUCUAACGUUCUAAUGAAUCCAGUGAAUGCUCAGCUACGUAUGUAAAAUGAAACAAUUCUCAUCAGGAUGGAAUAAGACCCUGUAUUUUUGAUACCCAAUGCUUUAUAAUAAUGUGAUAACAGAAGACACUCCAGAGAGGUGAGAAGCGAGUGCAAAUUUAUUCCAGAAAUGGAAUAAAACAGUUCUGUACUAAAACCUGAAGGCA
This 1171-nucleotide long non-coding RNA is filed under the name Anas platyrhynchos platyrhynchos (common mallard). RNAcentral describes it as "lncRNA (ENSAPLG00000025757.1)". The record is from RNAcentral. Lineage: Eukaryota; Metazoa; Chordata; Aves; Anseriformes; Anatidae.